AGAGUUUGAUGAUGGCUCAGGAUGAACGCUAGCGGUGCGCCUAACACAUGCAAGUCGAGCGAUCGAGCCAAGCCAAUCACCCUUCGGGGUGUGCGGAUUGGUCACGGAGCGGCGAACUGGUGAGUAACACGUGACUAACCUACCCCCUUGACAAGGAUAGCCACCCGAAAGGGUGGGUAAUACUCGAUAUUGUUGGAGGUCGAUGGAUUUCCAACCAAAGGCGGUUCUGCCGCCACAAGGGGAGGGGGUCGCGUCCUAUUAGCUUGUUGGUAGGGUAACGGCCUACCAAGGCUACGAUGGGUAGCUGGUCUGAGAGGAUGGUCAGCCACAUUGGGACUGAGAUACGGCCCAGACUCCUACGGGAGGCAGCAGUGGGGAAUCUUUCGCAAUGGACGAAAGUCUGAUGGAGCGACACCGCGUGGGGG
RNAcentral lists this ribosomal RNA (425 nucleotides) under uncultured bacterium. RNAcentral's name for it is "bacterial SSU rRNA". It matches the Rfam family "Bacterial small subunit ribosomal RNA", at positions 8 to 407 of the family's 1533-position model. The record is from RNAcentral.